UUUAAGUUCAGAUGUGAAAGACCCGGGGCGUCAACCUCGGAAUAGCAUUUGUAAACUAGGCAGACUAGAGUACUGUAGAGGGGGGUAGGAAUUUCAGGUGUAGCGGUGAAAUAGCGUAGAGAUCUGAAGGAAUACCGGUGGCGAAGGCGGCCCCCUCGGACAGAUACUGACACUCAGAUGCGAAAGCGUGGGGAGCAAACAGGAUUAGAUACCCUGGUAG
This 220-nucleotide ribosomal RNA is filed under the name uncultured bacterium. RNAcentral describes it as "partial 16S ribosomal RNA". It matches the Rfam family "Bacterial small subunit ribosomal RNA", at positions 581 to 793 of the family's 1533-position model. The record is from RNAcentral.